RNAcentral lists this ribosomal RNA (447 nucleotides) under uncultured bacterium. Its description in RNAcentral is "bacterial SSU rRNA". It matches the Rfam family "Bacterial small subunit ribosomal RNA", at positions 355 to 825 of the family's 1533-position model. The record is from RNAcentral.
UGGGGAAUCUUGGACAAUGGGCGCAAGCCUGAUCCAGCCAUGCCGCGUGGAUGACGAAGGCCCUAGGGUUGUAAAAUCCUUUCGUUGGGGACGAUAAUGACGGUACCCAAAGAAGAAGCUCCGGCUAACUCCGUGCCAGCAGCCGCGGUAAUACGGAGGGAGCUAGCGUUGUUCGGAAUUACUGGGCGUAAAGCGUACGUAGGCGGUGACUCAAGUCAGAGGUGAAAGCCUGGAGCUCAACUCCAGAACUGCCUUUGAAACUAGGUCGCUAGAAUCACGGAGAGGUGAGUGGAAUUCCGAGUGUAGAGGUGAAAUUCGUAGAUAUUCGGAAGAACACCAGUGGCGAAGGCGGCUCACUGGACGUGUAUUGACGCUGAGGUACGAAAGCGUGGGGAGCAAACAGGAUUAGAUACCCCAGUAGUCCCUGAGCGGGCUGGCAAGGCGCAU